GGGGGGGGGGGGUCGUUGCUUUUUCAAAGCCUUCUUGCACCCCGAGUGUGUGAAGAAAUACACGGCAGAAGAACACGGCGACUACUGGGACUGAGGGAACUGACGAAUAUCCAUGAGCUCCGAUUCCCCUCACUACAGUUUCAGGAUGCCAAAUAUAGGGUUCCAGAAUCUUCCCCUUAAUAUCUACAUUGUGGUGUUUGGGACAGCCAUCUUUGUCUUCAUCCUCAGCCUCCUCUUCUGCUGCUACUUAAUAAGGUAACACCCAUGCACCUGUUAGCUUUGGAUUUGGCUUUGCUUAGAAUUCUUAUUGUGUAUAUGUGUGAGUUUGUGGCAAUACAGUGUGGUCCCUUGGGUAGGCAACAAAUCAUUAAUAUGGUGGUAUGUGUAAAACCAGUUUGAUAUUAAUUACCCUCGUGAACUGCAUUCUGCUGCUCAUGCGCUGCCAGGAUCGAAAAUACAAAUUUGCAUUAAUCUAUUUAAAGAAAUACAGGCUUCCAGGGUUCUCAUUUUCAAACCAGUAAAAAUGAUGUUGUACUGAUGUUUCUCAACGUAAAGGCUUAAUACUAAUGGAGACUUUAUAUCUAGUAAUCUAUACAGAACCGUUCAAUUAAAUAUUGAAUAAUCAUGUUGUUUCUAUUCAGCAGACAUCAUCAUUGUCACAAUGGCUUUUAGUCGAGGUUGAAUUAUAUAAUUAUAAUUGUUUUCCUUUUUUAGAAAUGUGUGACUUUAGGAUUUUAAUUGAUAGGAAAAACAGUUAUACUAUGCUGACAUCCAAAGCUGGUUGUCUACAUUAUCAUGAUCAUGGCACUUGGCGUCAAAGAAAAGAGUUCUAUAUUUAUUUUUCUAAGAGCCAAUUAACCUCCUAAAUGUUCUCCCCAUAUCCUUUCUUCAAUUAAAUUCACAUUUGGCUCUUCAUUAAAUUAGUAUUUGGGUGUUUAGAACCUGUUUGUAACCAUUACUUUAUUCUUGUUGAAUCUCCCUUUGUCAAGCAAUUAGUCUUGAGUGUAAUCCAGUAAUUAUUCCCCACAAAGAGGUGGUUUCUAGUCAUUCCCUUGCACCUCUAUUUAAUACCACUGGUCUAAUUAAGUUGUCCUGGUUGCCGUGGCUGCAGGGUUUUCUCAUGCCAACAACUAACUGAACAGAAAUAAUGUCCAGCAUGUUUUAUCAGUCAAGACAGUGGGAAGCAGCAGUUCCCAACAAAAUUCACCCCUCGUCACCCUGCCAUAUCCUAUCUUGCAGGGCGAAUGGUAAGUAGGUUAACUACUACUGUGUUACUACAAUUCUUCAUUUAACUGUGAAAAGACACUUUAUGACUUUGAUACAGUACCAUGAUUCAACACAUAAAGCAAAAAGAGCAUUUUUGCUCCAUAAAGAGCAUCUGAAGAUGCAGUCUCCCAAAGGACUGGCCUAAAUUCAUAUGCACCAUUAUGCAUGACGAAUGUACAAAUUAAAGCCUCCAUAUGAAAAUCCUUCUUUCACAAAUUGGCUCAAGCUUUACUUAAACCUCAGAGGUUGCCAUAAAGCGUGAAUCCUAUAGUCUCUGUGCAGUAAGCGUCAUUGCUUGUUUACACUGAGAGGAGAAUGAGGGGACCAAGGAAUUUACUUUAGAGUUUGAGUGUGAUGGUCAUUACUCCAACAGACAAACACUCACAAAGUUUGACACAAGGCAGACUGUCACAGAAAUACUAAACCACCUUCAACAGUGAGUCCUGGGUCAACACACAUAUAUGUUAAAUAUGCAGUGUACAUUACAACAAGUAAUUCCUGAGCAUGGGGUGUUUCUGAAAGUAAGAGACAGGAGCUCUUGAAUGAUGAACUCACAAACAUGGCCUACAUGUUUAUGCAUGUGCAAUGUAAAUAAACCUAGAUCUUUGUAACAGCAAGUCUGUAACAGUUUAGUGCUUAUGAAUGUUCAGUGAGGUGACACACUAUGAUGAUGGCUGUCACACAUAUUUAAAAUUGAGUAGCCCGCUGACUACAGGCAAACAAUGAUAAUAAUACCUUUUGAGAGGACGGUCAAUUUGGACAUCUGUUUCUCUCAGCUGGUUAAUGUUACCCACGUUGACAUUGCAGUUAAGGGCCCCAUCCGUCACCCACAACCCCCCCACCAUGACCAAUUGUCCCCUACCCUUGGGAGUCUCUGCACCUUUUCCUGCUGACCUCUUUCAAAAUGUCAGUUUUUCUCCUAGACUGUGCUGCUUGUUUUACAGAUCCCUCUCACUCUGCUGCGAGAGGUUAAGGUUACUUGUAAUGGAGGUUACGGCACCAGGCGCACAAAGAGCUAUAUGCAUACAAACAAGUCAUUCAGAAAGAAAAAGUAAAAGAACUAAAUUUGCAUGAGAUUUGUGCAGUGUGCUUGGAGGAGUUCAAACAGAAAGACGAGCUGGGGAUUUGUCCGUGCAAACAUGCCUUUCAUAGGAAGUGCCUCAUUAAGUGGUUGGAGGUGAGGAAAGUGUGCCCGCUGUGCAACAUGCCCGUCCUGCAGCUCGCCCAGCAGGCCGGCAGCACGGAUGCUCCGGUGCCAAUACAGCAGCCUCUCCCCGGCAUCGAGAACCUGGUGUAGCAGCCUCCAACCCUCACAUGUAGUACACAACAGACACACACAAAUACACAUCCCAUCAUUCAUACAGGUACACCUUUGGUAUGAGUCUGUGGACAGAGCGGAGACACUGGGGUUCAUGCGCGGAUACUCACAAAAACUGUGACUCUUCCGCCAUCAUCAACUUAUUCUUGCAAUGGUUCACAAAAGGAUUUGCGUCUAUCAGUUCUGACUGAUAAUCGACUGUAUUCAUGUUUUUUUUCUUUUCGCGGACAAUGAAGAACAUAGUUGAUCUUGAAGAAGUUUCCCUGUUGGCCAAGAUGUGGUCGAUAACUUUUUCUCAACCAAAGCACUUUUCUGGGGACACCAGCUUAAGUAAGACCAGGAGGGGAAAAAACACAAAAGCCAAGAACACUCAAAUAUAAAUUGUUUAACUUUUUUUUAACAAGCACUUUAUGAUCAGGCAAAUCUUAAUUGAUUGUGAUCCUAGUAGCAAGGUUAUGUUUUAUAUUUUAUCAUGAACUAUUAUUUUCUGUACAGUACAAAGCCACAUGGGCUUUGGUUUUUAAUUAGUCAACUUUGAUUUGUAAGACAAAAUGUCUGAAAGGGACAACAAAACCUGUCAUUAGAUAAAUGUCAGGAAAUUUGGAUAAUGCUUUUAAUUGUAAGUGCACCUUGAGAUUUUGUCUGAUUAAAUGUGAAAAGUUUGAAUGUGUUGAAACAGAAUUCUUCACACAAAGCCAAUAUCAUUUUUUCCCUCAUUGAUGGCCUGUUUGUCAUUCAUUACAAUGGGACUAUUGUCGUUAUCCUUUGUUAUUAUUCUGUCAAUACAGGAAGGUGAUAGAGUGAACAAAUUAUAUUUUCAUGAAAGGAAUAUACAGAGUAACAUCCACCAUAUACAAGUGCAGGCUAUAUCCUCUUACCCCAGAAAAACAAUUCACGAUCUCUCCAAAAGGAAAUGACAGUUUCAAAGCAACUACUUCAACGACUAUGAUUAUUUAAACCAGUAUUAGUGUGUAACACCUGGAGCUUUAUCUAUAACACUGUUUUACACAACAGACACCAGUAAAGCAAUGUUAAGCAAAUGUCUAAAACACGUAACAUAAAUGUUCCUCUUUUAUUUUGUUCUGCUGCAUAAUUUUAUUGGAUUGAAGCUGUUCUGUGUGAGUGUUACAGUGGCUUGCUUCAGAUGAAGGCUGAGACACUUCAGAAAAUAAAAAGACAGAUGUCAAACAGGCGUAUUGAUUUAUCUUAAACAAGCUUCAUAUAUCCUGCUAGAAUAGGUCGAUACCUCAAUUUUGGAAGAAAGCAGCAUGAAGCAGGCGUUUGCCUUCUUUCCUGUUCAGAUCCUACUUACAAUGUUCUGCAUACACAGUUGCCGUUACUUUUGCUUCUAUCCAAGUAGAGUAUUUGUAUUUAUUUUUGUAUUUAUUAUAAUUUCUGGGUACAGCUGCAUAGAGUGAACGAGUAAGUAGAUUAACACCUGCACCAGAAUUACUGCCCUCAGCAGAUAAUCAGCAUAUCUUUUGGUCAAGAAAUACACACGACUCGGUAAAAUACGCACAAAGGGAGGGGCUUGAGCUGCCCCAUGGACAGGUUGCCAGAGAGUCAGGGGUCAGCAGGUUGUAAUGAAGCAGCGUUUUCAUUCAUGCACACACAUAAAGGGUAGUUCUGCUUUUUGGCUGCAGUAUUCUGGCGCUUUCGCCUCUCUCCCUCUUUCUGUUUUUGUUUUGUGCCACACAUACAGUAACUCUUAAGCCCUGCCAGCUUUUGUGGUUAUGUUUUUUUGUCCUCAUCCCUUGUUAGCUGCAUUUGGUAAAUGGGUUGUGUGUCAAUGUGCUGACCUGAAAAGAGCAGCUAAAAAAACUGUGCUGUGUCAAGAGUGAUGGAUUUAAGAUUUGUUGGAGAUUUCCUUUAACCUGGGAUAUGUACUGACAAAUAACAAUACAUUCUCAUUACAGGGACUAUCCCUGAUCCAAAUGUAAACAAAAGAAUAGUCCCACCAUAAAUAAUGUAAACUAACACAAUGAAAUACAAUUAAAUCACAUUGUUCAAUGUGUUUUGCGCGAUUAAAAGGUUUGUUUC
Molecule: RNA transcript, 4624 nt
Organism: Cyclopterus lumpus (lumpfish)
Lineage: Eukaryota; Metazoa; Chordata; Actinopteri; Perciformes; Cyclopteridae
Gene: rnf24
Gene name: ring finger protein 24
Exons: 6
Source: RefSeq, a predicted model, not a curated record